CAGUAGCCGCGGUAAAACGGAGGGCGCGAGCGUUACCCGGAUUUACUAGGCGUAAAGGGCGUGUAGGCGGCCUGGGGCGUCCCAUGUGAAAGGCCACGGCUCAACCGUGGAGGAGCGUGGGAUACGCUCAGGCUAGAGGGUGGGAGAGGGUGGUGGAAUUCCCGGAGUAGCGGUGAAAUGCGCAGAUACCGGGAGGAACGCCGAUGGCGAAGGCAGCCACCUGGUCCACUUCUGACGCUGAGGCGCGAAAGCGUGGGGAGCAAACCGGAUUAGAUACCCGCGUAGUCCCUGUCUCUUAUAC
Molecule: ribosomal RNA, 301 nt
Filed under: uncultured bacterium
Lineage: Bacteria
Description: partial 16S ribosomal RNA
Rfam family: Bacterial small subunit ribosomal RNA
Source: RNAcentral